ACGGUACUUGCAAGAAAGGUGUCUCCAAACGCACUUGUCAUUGACGAAUUCAGUUCAUUCAUAAACGUAUUCAGCGUAGAGUUCAAAGAAAGUGUAGUAUUAUGAAUGGAACCAAACAUAUUGUUAUUGAUGUUUUCUUGAUUUUUUAAAAUAAUUUGGUUAGUUGAAUUAGCCCAUGCUACUGAAACAUUUGCUAAAGCAGAUUCAACUUUAUGAAAUGAAUUUUGCGCUAGAGCACUGAUUACUGAACCAUCUUCACGAAUAUUGUUGAGAAGUACCAGCUGUAGAAUGCCAGAAAUAAAGGAAGUGCAACUAAUAAAAAGAAUCAUUGCGGCAGGGGGAUGAAAUAUAUAUGUGAUGAACCAUCGAAGUUGCACACUUAAAAAACAAGGUAAAGGAAGAGCUGAAAUAAAAUAUUUUAAG
Schizosaccharomyces pombe (fission yeast) is the source of this 423-nucleotide non-coding RNA. The record is from the annotation of a GenBank genome assembly. Lineage: Eukaryota; Fungi; Ascomycota; Schizosaccharomycetes; Schizosaccharomycetales; Schizosaccharomycetaceae.